RNAcentral lists this ribosomal RNA (357 nucleotides) under uncultured bacterium. RNAcentral's name for it is "partial 16S ribosomal RNA". It matches the Rfam family "Bacterial small subunit ribosomal RNA", at positions 338 to 710 of the family's 1533-position model. The record is from RNAcentral.
CCUACGGGAGGCAGCAGUGGGGAAUAUUGGGCAAUGGGCGCAAGCCUGACCCAGCAACGCCGCGUGAAGGAAGAAGGCUUUCGGGUUGUAAACUUCUUUUGUCAGGGAAGAGUAGAAGACGGUACCUGAAGAAUAAGCUUCGGCUAACCACGUGCCAGCAGCCGCGGUAAUACGGAGGUGGCAAGCGGUGUCCGGAUUUACUGGGUGUAAAGGGCGUGUAGCCGGUUUGACAAGUCAGAUGUGAAAUCCUGCGGCUUAACCGCAGAACUGCAUUUGAAACUGUUAAUCUUGAGUACUGGAGAGGCAGGCGGAAUUCCUGGUGUAGCGGUGAAAUGCGUAGAUAUUAGGAGGAACACC